AGGGAAAGUUGCAAAGCACUUUGAAGAGAGAGUUAAAGAGGACGUGAAACCGAUGAGAUCGAAACGGAUAGAGUCAGCGUAUCUGACCUGUAUUCAGUCACACAUCUGUCAGUCGUCAUGUGUUGAUUUCCAGACUGGGACAGUGUGUGGCUAGCUGAUUGUUGUGUGGUGCAUUUGCAGGUGGAGUGCGUCGAGACGCUCGGUGUGGCGACAUGAGCUCAGUUUUGAGGCCAGCUUGCUGGUACCCGAAUUGGAGGAAUGUUGUUCACGCUGAGUGGAAUUGGCAAGGCCUACGAGUCCGGUUGGGCAUCGAGCUGGCAGUCGGCGUCGGUCGCAUGCGACACGUGCUGUGCAGUCAGUUCGGUCCUAGUCGAGCUCACAAGCCUAUUCUCGGCGUAAAAGCUGGUCAUCUAUCCGACCCGUCUUGAAACACGGACCAAGGAGUUUAUCGUGUGCGCAAGUCAUUGGGCGUUGAAAACCCAAAGGCGCAAUGAAAGUGAACGCAUCCGCAAGGAGCUGACGUGCGAUCCCGGGUACUGCGGUGCCCGAGCGCAGCAUGGCCCCAUCCCGAUUGCUUGCAAUGGGGUGGAGGAAGAGCGUACGCGGUGAGACCCGAAAGAUGGUGAACUAUUCCUGAGCAGGAUGAAGCCAGAGGAAACUCUGGUGGAAGUCCGAAGCGAUUCUGACGUGCAAAUCGAUCGUCUGACUUGGGUAUAGGGGCGAAAGACUAAUCGAACCAUCUAGUAGCUG
RNAcentral lists this ribosomal RNA (750 nucleotides) under Pratylenchus vulnus (walnut meadow nematode). Its description in RNAcentral is "eukaryotic LSU rRNA". It matches the Rfam family "Eukaryotic large subunit ribosomal RNA", at positions 356 to 953 of the family's 3401-position model. The record is from RNAcentral. Lineage: Eukaryota; Metazoa; Nematoda; Chromadorea; Rhabditida; Pratylenchidae.